Molecule: long non-coding RNA, 1060 nt
Organism: Chrysemys picta bellii (western painted turtle)
Lineage: Eukaryota; Metazoa; Chordata; Testudines; Emydidae
Source: RefSeq, a predicted model, not a curated record
CUGCUCACGCCUGCCUGGUAAUCACAGUAUUUUAGAGCUGAAGCAGGAGAGGCAGUCCUUCACCUCAUCAGGCUCUAGCCUAUUGAGGCAUGGAAGGACUAGGAGUCAGACCUUGAAUUAGAACCAAUACUUACUGGGAGCCAGUGUAAUGAGUGGCAGUGUAAUAUUCUCUUGUGUUGAAGAUGGUUGCUGCAUCCUGGACCAGCUGCAGUAACUGCGUGAUACCCAGGUAAAAAGGAUAACAAACGCUUGAAUUGCUGUGCUCAGACUUCCAUGUUUCAGAGUGGGCAUGGAUGUCUUAUCAACAGAAAGUAGAACAAGAGACAUUUCUCACUAUUGCUACCAAUUGGGCAUCCAAGGGUAGCACAAAAUUGAAUACCAUUCCCAGAGUACAUCCCAGUGAUGUAUAGGUGCCCUAGACACAAGGAAUGGGCAUGGAUUCUGAAAGAUCUUGAGAAUGUAUACCCUUGCUAAUUGGUGUUUGAGCCAAGCAGCAUUGAAAGCAGUGUGACUAAAAGUCAUUGGGUGAUAUUUCUUCUCCAUUCCUCUCCCUAGUAAAAAAAUUGCAGUUUGCUUUUAUGAGUAAAAGCAACAUUGAAGAAGGGUGCCUUGCCCUUGGACUGGGCAGUGGCAAGAUAUGAGGUGGUCAUUAGGUUCCAAGUGAGUAAGCACAACAAUCUUGGAUGGCUCCAAAGAAAUCCCCAUCUCCUGCACACAGGAGGUUUACCCGUGCAGUGCACUGUCCCUGAGGACUGGAGCUGGUAGAGGCUGGUUGAAACACUGGAGUUUCAGGUUUCACUUCUUUUGUACUGUGAUGUCACAAUCCUACCAGUCCUCUGCUGAGUCUUCCAGGGAGGCAAGAGCUCAAUUUCUGAUGUGGAAAAAAAAGCAGAAAACAGAACUUCUUUAGAACAAAAACCCAACAAAACCAAAACCAGAAAAACAGCCUCCUCAUCUCCUUCUCCUUUACCAUUCAGGUGAUGAUGGGAUGAUCUGAACAAGUAUGACGAGAGCAUUCCAUGAAAUCUCCCAAUAAGCUCUGGAAGAGAUACACUCUCUU